GACGAACGCUGGCGGCGUGCUUAAUACAUGCAAGUCGAGCGGGGUUACUGCGACAGAUCCCUUCGGGGUGACGUUGCUUUAACCUAGCGGCGGACGGGUGAGUAACGCGUGGGUAACCUACCCUAAAGCUCGGGAUAACAGUGGGAAACCGCUGCUAAUACCGGAUGACUUUAACCUAUGGCAUCAUGGGUUAAAGAAAGAUUUAUCGCUUUAGGAUGGGCCCGCGUCCCAUUAGCUAGUUGGUGAGGUAACGGCUCACCAAGGCGACGAUGGGUAGCCGGCCUGAGAGGGUGUACGGCCACACUGGGACUGAGACACGGCCCAGACUCCUACGGGAGGCAGCAGUAGGGAAUAUUGCGCAAUGGACGGAAGUCUGACGCAGCGACGCCGCGUGAGCGAUGAAGGCCUUCGGGUCGUAAAGCUCUGUCCUUGGGGAAGAAGGUCUUCGGACUUGACGGUACCCAAGAAGAAAGCCCCGGCUAACUACGUGCCAGCAGCCGCGGUAAUACGUAGGGGGCGAGCGUUGUCCGGAAUUACUGGGCGUAAAGGGUGCGUAGGCGGCCCUUUAAGUCAGAUGUGAAAGGCCACGGCUUAACCGUGGGAUUGCAUUUGAAACUGGAGGGCUUGAGUGUCGGAAAGGGUAGUGGAAUUCCCAGUGUAGCGGUGAAAUGCGUAGAUUUUGGGAGGAACACCAGUGGCGAAGGCGACUACCUGGACGAUAACUGACGCUAAGGCACGAAAGCUAGGGGAGCAAACAGG
This 759-nucleotide ribosomal RNA is filed under the name uncultured Neomoorella sp. Its description in RNAcentral is "bacterial SSU rRNA". It matches the Rfam family "Bacterial small subunit ribosomal RNA", at positions 28 to 776 of the family's 1533-position model. Lineage: Bacteria; Bacillati; Bacillota; Clostridia; Neomoorellales; Neomoorellaceae. The record is from RNAcentral.